RNAcentral lists this transfer RNA (71 nucleotides) under Methanobacteriota archaeon. RNAcentral describes it as "Euryarchaeota archaeon (soil metagenome) tRNA-Cys". It matches the Rfam family "tRNA". Rfam says of the family: Transfer RNA (tRNA) molecules are approximately 80 nucleotides in length. Their secondary structure includes four short double-helical elements and three loops (D, anti-codon, and T loops). Lineage: Archaea; Methanobacteriati; Methanobacteriota. The record is from RNAcentral.
GGGGGGAUGACAGAGAGGCUAUGUGGCGGACUGCAGAUCCGCACACUCGGGUUCAAAUCCCGAUCCCCCCU